UGGACAUCCGGCAGCUACCAUGCAGUCGAGGGGUAUAAUUAGCUUGCUAAUUAGAGACCGGCGCACGGGUGAGUAACGCGUAUGCAACCUACCUAUUACAGGGGAAUAGCCAGAAGAAAUUCUGAUUAAUGCUCCAUGGUUUACUUGAAUGGCAUCAUUUGAUUAAUAAAGAUUUAUCGGUAAUAGAUGGGCAUGCGUGUCAUUAGCUAGUUGGUAUGGUAACGGCAUACCAAGGCAACGAUGACUAGGGGUCCUGAGAGGGAGGUCCCCCACACUGGUACUGAGACACGGACCAGACUCCUACGGGAGGCAGCAGUGAGGAAUAUUGGUCAAUGGAGGCAACUCUGAACCAGCCAUGCCGCGUGCAGGAUGACGGUCCUAUGGAUUGUAAACUGCUUUUGUACAGGAAGAAAUGUUACUACGUGUAGUAAUUUGACGGUACUGUAAGAAUAAGGAUCGGCUAACUCCGUGCCAGCAGCCGCGGUAAUACGGAGGAUCCGAGCGUUAUCCGGAAUUAUUGGGUUUAAAGGGUUCGUAGGCGGUUGGAUAAGUCAGUGGUGAAAUCUCAUAGCUUAACUAUGAAACUGCCGUUGAUACUGUCUGACUUGAAUAGUAUGGAAGUAACUAGAAUAUGUAGUGUAGCGGUGAAAUGCUUAGAUAUUACAUGGAAUACCAAUUGCGAAGGCAGGUUACUACGUACUUAUUGACGCUGAUGAACGAAAGCGUGGGUAGCGAACAGGAUUAGAUACCCUGGUAGUCCACGCCGUAAACGAUGGAUACUAGCUGUUCGGACUUCGGUUUGAGUGGCUAAGCGAAAGUGAUAAGUAUCCCACCUGGGGAGUACGUUCGCAAGAAUGAAACUCAAAGGAAUUGACGGGGGCCCGCACAAGCGGUGGAGCAUGUGGUUUAAUUCGAUGAUACGCGAGGAACCUUACCAGGGCUUAAAUGUAGAUUGACAGGUUUGGAACAGACUUUUCUUCGGACAAUUUACAAGGUGCUGCAUGGUUGUCGUCAGCUCGUGCCGUGAGGUGUCAGUUAAGUCCUAUAACGAGCGCAACCCCUAUUGUUAGUUACCAGCGCGUUAAGGCGGGGACUCUAGCAAGACUGCCGGUGCAACCGUGAGAAGGUGGGGGAUGACGUCAAUCAUCACGCCUUACCGUCCUGGGGCUACACACGUGGCUACAAUGGCCAAGG
This 1194-nucleotide ribosomal RNA is filed under the name uncultured bacterium. Its description in RNAcentral is "bacterial SSU rRNA". It matches the Rfam family "Bacterial small subunit ribosomal RNA", at positions 37 to 1239 of the family's 1533-position model. The record is from RNAcentral.